AACGAACGCUGGCGGCAGGCUUAACACAUGCAAGUCGAACGCAUCCUUCGGGGUGAGUGGCAGACGGGUGAGUAACGCGUGGGAACGUGCCCUUCAGUUCGGGAUAACCCAGGGAAAAUUGGGCUAAUACCGGAUACGUGCGAGAGCAGAAAGAUUUAAUGCUGAAGGAACGGCCCGCGUCUGAUUAGCUAGUUGGUGGGGUAAUGGCCCACCAAGGCGACGAUCAGUAGCUGGUCUGAGAGGAUGAUCAGCCACAUUGGGACUGAGACACGGCCCAAACUCCUACGGGAGGCAGCAGUGGGGAAUAUUGGACAAUGGGCGCAAGCCUGAUCCAGCCAUGCCGCGUGAGUGAUGAAGGCCUUAGGGUUGUAAAGCUCUUUCGUCCGGGACGAUAAUGACGGUACCGGAAGAAGAAGCCCCGGCUAACUUCGUGCCAGCAGCCGCCGUAA
RNAcentral lists this ribosomal RNA (449 nucleotides) under uncultured bacterium. RNAcentral describes it as "partial 16S ribosomal RNA". It matches the Rfam family "Bacterial small subunit ribosomal RNA", at positions 29 to 523 of the family's 1533-position model. The record is from RNAcentral.